This 465-nucleotide ribosomal RNA is filed under the name Vreelandella stevensii. RNAcentral's name for it is "partial 16S ribosomal RNA". It matches the Rfam family "Bacterial small subunit ribosomal RNA", at positions 338 to 795 of the family's 1533-position model. Lineage: Bacteria; Pseudomonadati; Pseudomonadota; Gammaproteobacteria; Oceanospirillales; Halomonadaceae. The record is from RNAcentral.
CCUACGGGCGGCAGCAGUGGGGAAUAUUGGACAAUGGGCGAAAGCCUGAUCCAGCCAUGCCGCGUGUGUGAAGAAGGCCUUCGGGUGGUAAAGCACUUUCAGUGGGGAAGAAAGCCUUGGGGCUAAUACCCUCGAGGAAGGACAUCACCCACAGAAGAAGCACCGGCUAACUCCGUGCCAGCAGCCGCGGUAAUAAGGAGGGUGCGAGCGUUAAUCGGAAUUACUGGGCGUAAAGCGCGCGUAGGCGGUCUGAUAAGCCGGUUGUGAAAGCCCCGGGCUCAACCUGGGAACGGCAUCCGGAACUGUCAGGCUAGAGUGCAGGAGAGGAAGGUAGAAUUCCCGGUGUAGCGGUGAAAUGCGUAGAGAUCGGGAGGAAUACCAGUGGCGAAGGCGGCCUUCUGGACUGACACUGACGCUGAGGUGCGAAAGCGUGGGUAGCAAACAGGAUUAGAUACCCUGGUAGUC